UAAUAAACAACUAAAGUAAUAAUAAAAAAUUAAACUAAUAUAAAAUGGCGGUCUAAAUUACACUUAAAGAAACUCGCUUCAUAAUCGAUAAUUCACGAUAAAUUUAACUUAUUAUUAAAAUAAUUCAUAUACCGCCGUUAAAGAAACAAUCUUAUAUAUAGUGUCCUAACCUAAAACACCAAUUUUUCAUUUUUUAAGCAAAAUCAGGUCAAGGUGUGAUCAAUUAACAAGAAGAAGUUAGUUACAAUAAAACAAAUUUAAGGAAUUUAAUUAAAUUAAAGCUAAAUGAAAGAGAAUUUACAAAUACAUAUUAAUUAAAAUUUAAAGUCGAAAAAAUACAUAAGACGC
This 348-nucleotide ribosomal RNA is filed under the name Spermophora sp. Ind90. Its description in RNAcentral is "partial 12S ribosomal RNA". The record is from RNAcentral. Lineage: Eukaryota; Metazoa; Arthropoda; Arachnida; Araneae; Pholcidae.